GUAAUGGCAGGUGCUCUAUCUUGUUCACCGUAGGACGAACUUCGGGCAGGGGCACCACAGGGCCAAAUUAUAAGGCGGUGGAGUCAUGGUCGCUCGGUCUAGCGGCUGAUGAAGCUGGUCCAUGGGUCGCUCUCUGAGGUGGUGUGGGGCCCACUACAGUAAUGUGUGAGCGAUCGGGCCAGAUGAGAGCAUUUCCUUGGUGGCUUCUCGUUCAUGUUACG
Molecule: non-coding RNA, 221 nt
Organism: Pelobates cultripes (western spadefoot toad)
Lineage: Eukaryota; Metazoa; Chordata; Amphibia; Anura; Pelobatidae
Source: the annotation of a GenBank genome assembly